This is a non-coding RNA of Vicugna pacos (alpaca), 2749 nucleotides long. Lineage: Eukaryota; Metazoa; Chordata; Mammalia; Artiodactyla; Camelidae. The record is from RefSeq and is a predicted model, not a curated record.
CUUUCGGACUGCGCAUUUGGGGGAUGUAGGGACCGUGGGUCCACCCAUCUGCGGGUGAUUCUUUGUGAGCUCCUGCUUCACAGGUGGCUUUCGUUCUGUUCCCUUCCACUUGUGGUCGAGAGCCUGGGUACGAAAGGGCUGCAAGUAGGCAAGGGGAACGUAGCCAGAUUUAUGCCCAGAUUUUAAGACUCCUGGUUCAGAAGUAUUCCCUAAACGUUUCGGGAAGGAUAAAGAAUAUGUGUUAGGCGCGUUUGAAGGCCAGUGCUCAGGUAGCCUCACAUGGUAGUGCCGAGGGGAAAUAAGCAGACGUUUGUUUUAGCACUUCCUUGUAGUUUAAACGUUCAAAGAAAAGGGGAGUUCAGAUCUGCAUAGGUGUCAGAAAAGGUCGAAUGGGGUUGGAAAUGUGUGAGGUUACUCGUAAUUAGGCUUUCGUACGCUCUCCCUAGCUUUGAGAAAUGAUUAAUGGCUGUGAAAGUAUGUAGAGGAUACAUGCUUUUCAGGUGUAAAUUACUCUUUUAAACAAGAAUAGGUUUACCAGAAAUGGAAGCCUGACUCGUUUCUCCAAUCCUGUACAGUCUGCCCCUUGGUAUAUGCAGGGGAUUGGUUCCAGGACACCCCGCCCCCAUACCAAAAUAUCCUGGAUGCUCAAGUCCUUUGUAUAAAACAGUGUAUUAUUUUUCAUAUAACCUACUUAUAUCUUAUCCUAUAACUUUAAGUCAUCUGUACAUUACUUACAAUACCUAAUACAGUAUAAAUGCUACGUAAAGAGUUGCGGGGGUGAAACAAAUUCAAGUUUUGCUUUUUGAAACUUUCUGAAAUUUUGAGGGGAAUAUUUUUGAUCUGUAAUUGGUUGAAUUCGAGGAUGUGUAACCCACAGGUACAGAGGGUUGACUGUAAUUGCUCAAUAAAGAGUGCCCAAGAGAGGCUGUGAGUAUUCUGCUUGAAAGGUUUUCUUGGUAGCCAGUUGAAGUCGAGGCUAAUAGCUCUUUUGGUAUUUUCUGUCAAGAAUUAAAGCAUUUGGAAACAAAGGGUCUCUUAUCAUAUACUUAUUGGGAAUAAUUGAAAGCCUUGCUUUUGUAAGGCAUAACAACAUAAGUAGUUCACCAUAUGAUAAACUAGCAAAAACCUAAUUAAGACCCUACUACUCUAGUUUGGAAUUUCGACAGGAAUUUGACAAAUGCUUUCUCUUAGCUAGUGCAAAUAAAUGAUAUAAACACAAUGAGGAGGUGCUGAGAGUGGGAAGAGCAUCUUUAAAAUGGUUUGGAGCAUCCAUUUAUAUACAUUAAAUUAUGACUCUUAGCUGCUUAUUGAGGCAAAGCCACCAUUGACCUCUCCUCUGUAACAUUUUAAAAAGAGAAAACUUUUAUCUCUGUUUAACUUAAUACUCAAUUCUGAUUAAACUCCACCUCCUCCCUCUCCUUUCCUCCUCCCAUUAGCCUGGGUUAGUGUGAUUUUUACUGGGAAGCUUAGGAGCCUACUAAAUUCUGCAUCAGUUGAAACAAUGUUCAUUUUUAUUAACUUAUUAAAAAAUAAAUUAAAAGCACUUCACAGAACAAGCAAAGGCUUUGUUUCAAAGAAUAUAAGUAAAUCUGAAUUUUUCAAUAAUUUGAUGCACUAGGAGAGGAAAGAAAGGAAGCUAGACCAAGUAAACACAUGGCAUGAGGGUUGGGACAGGGUGUUGGUGCUGGAGUAUAUUUAGCCCACUGGAAAUAUCACAAGCAUGGGCGAGGGCACACAAUUAAGAGUGUGUUGACAGGAAUAUACAGAAAUGGUUUUUGUCAGAUUUUCCUAGAAUUUGAAUGGAGAAAUUUCCGGUAUUAAAAUUCAUUUCUCCGUGUCUGGAAUGUUUUAUGAAUAGCGUCAGAAACGCAUAUAGCUAGUUAAAUCUUUAUUCAUUAGUCAUGUUCUAAUAUUAACAUGUAGUCCUAAUAUUGUUCUUAUGGAUUAGGACUGAGAAUUUCAUAGUCUGCUUCCUUGGGAGGAGGCAGCAUCAGCAGCUGCGGAGUGUGGGAACAGGGACUGCUGAUACAAAAAAAAUACCUGGUCAGUGGAAUCUUUCAAAAAUGGUAAAGAAGCAAUCACAGAAUGAAGAAAUACACAUCUUUGUUUCUACUGAUUUAUCACUUAAAUUUGGAGUCCGAGCACAGAUGUGGAUCACUGAAGACAGCACUGGAAGCGCCAUUUGCAGGUAGAGAUUGAAGUCAUCAUUAAAAGAGCCAGAAGGUAGAAAUUGUCUUUAUUUUAUGGGAGGGACUAGACUGGGCAGUACUAGUCAGAGAUGAAAUAAAUCAUAAGGGAACAUGAGGUUGUAAGAAAAAAAAAAAUCACUGCCCUUAUUUGGGUUAAACAGGUCACAUCAAGAAGAUGGUUACUUAAGAAAAGGAUGCUACUUACAUGCAGCAUAAAUUCAUUAAAAUCAAGCUGCACCCAACUACGAAAAAAAGAUUCCCUAAGAAACCUUUAAAAGUAUGUGUUAUCUGCCAGUCACAGAGGGGAAAAGCACCUAGGGUGAACUCCAAUUUAAUAAGGACCUUGAUCAGGACCACAAAGCCUGAAACAUUUGUUUUAAUGCAGAAACAGCCUCUAAUCACACUGGUUAAGUCUGGGGAAAUUAGAGGGUUUUUUGUUUUUUACUUUUUUAUUGAAUUACAAGAUACGAUUUUGAUUACUAAGGAUUCUAAAUCUUCAUACCAGCAUUAGAACAGAACCACUUCCAAAUCCUAAGACACAUAAGACCAAAGAGAAGCAG